UCACUCACAGCUGUGUUACCUGGAUCCAAUAAUUAACCUUUCUAAUCUGUAUAAUGGGGACACAAUUAACCCACCUCAUAACAGCUCUUACGAGGAUGAAGUGGGAUGAUUUUAAAAAGCGCUCAGUAAAGUGUCCGGGACCUAACAGGUGCCCGGUAAUGUUAGUAGUGUUUUCUCAUCGUUAGACCAGACCCAGCCCAACAGCGGAACUCCUGCUCCUUCCUGAAGCUCCUGAGUUUGGAGGAGAGGAUGGAAGGGGGGCAGCAGGAAGGGAGAAUCCCCCCCAGUGGUUAACCAGAAGCAAGAGUCCCUCUGUCCUUUGCACUCCACGACCAGCUGUCCCGCAGCCCCCCGGCCGGGCCUGCAGAGGCAGAGGGCGAACCCGCCAGUGACACGCCCUCCAGUCGGGUCCUGCUGAGUGGCCGAGGUGGGCCUCACAGGUUGCAGUCAGGAUCCCAAGGGACAGAGGAGAGCAGGGGUAUAUGUCAAGCUAGACGUCUAGAUGUGUUGCGAUGCUGCAGGCAAGUGGCCCUCCCUGUUGGAGCACCUGGGAUUCACAGAUUUGAAAGAGGCCUCCUGGUGCAAGCAACUGUCAAAAAUGAUGGAUGCUGACAUCUCAGAUAGGAGGAAAGCAGAAACGAGAGGCCUGGGCUCUGGGAACCUGUUGGAACUUAGUCUCAUUCUCUUUAGCCUUGACUAUCAAGGGCCGACGAUUGGCGAUUCUCUCCAGGUUGCCUAGAGAACAACUGAGCUGAGGCACAGAGACGUGAUUGGGGAGGUAGUAGGAAGAGCUUAAGAGUUAGGUGACGAGGCGGGGGAGCUGGUGGGGGAGACCAAGAGGUGAUUUUGCAUAUCAAUAAGAAACAAGGAUGAUUUUCCUUUGAAACCAUUGUUUUGGACAAGAAAUUUUAUUCUCUAGCUGUAAUACCAAUCACCUUUCUCCUAAUUUUUAAAGCUCAAGAGUCUUUUCAUGACCUUUCUAAAUUGCCCUCUGCAAUUUAUCUUUCCUUCCACUUCCCCUUCCUCUGUUUCCUAUUUAAAAUCUAGAAGAGACUUGCAUAAAAAGCAGUCAAGAUGUUGGAGCCCACUAACAAUAUUUCCCCAAGUUUUAAAAUAAAUAGCAGCAAUCCUUUUCAUGUAUAUGGUCCUGAACAUAUUGAAAAGUAUGUUUGCUUGUACAAUGCCAUCCGAGCAUCACACUGGCCCUACGAAAUCGGCAGGGCUGGUGUCAUUUGUCUUCAAAUCUCAGAAAACAGUAAU
RNAcentral lists this long non-coding RNA (1260 nucleotides) under Equus caballus (horse). Its description in RNAcentral is "lncRNA (ENSECAG00000053409.1)". Lineage: Eukaryota; Metazoa; Chordata; Mammalia; Perissodactyla; Equidae. The record is from RNAcentral.